RNAcentral lists this ribosomal RNA (427 nucleotides) under uncultured bacterium. RNAcentral's name for it is "bacterial SSU rRNA". It matches the Rfam family "Bacterial small subunit ribosomal RNA", at positions 355 to 775 of the family's 1533-position model. The record is from RNAcentral.
UAGGGAAUCUUCCGCAAUGGACGCAAGUCUGACGGAGCAACGCCGCGUGAGUGAUGAAGGUUUUCGGAUCGUAAAGCUCUGUUGCCAGGGAAGAAUAAAGGCGAGAGUAACUGCUCGUCUGAUGACGGUACCUGAGAAGAAAGCCCCGGCUAACUACGUGCCAGCAGCCGCGGUAAUACGUAGGGGGCAAGCGUUGUCCGGAAUUAUUGGGCGUAAAGCGCGCGCAGGCGGUUUUUUAAGUCCGAUGUAUAAGCCCGGGGCUCAACCCCGGGAGGCAUGGGAAACUGGGAGGCUUGAGUACAGAAGAGGAGAGUGGAAUUCCACGUGUAGCGGUGAAAUGCGUAGAGAUGUGGAGGAACACCAGUGGCGAAGGCGACUCUCUGGUCUGUAACUGACGCUGAGGCGCGAAAGCGUGGGGAGCAAACAG